Arvicanthis niloticus (Nile rat) is the source of this 623-nucleotide long non-coding RNA. RefSeq lists it as uncharacterized. The record is from RefSeq and is a predicted model, not a curated record. NCBI's taxonomy places the organism in Eukaryota, Metazoa, Chordata, Mammalia, Rodentia, Muridae.
GUGCGACCUCCCGCGCUGUUCCUUUUCUUCCGGGGAUCGCUGCUCUCCCACGCUCUCUGCGGGGCCUGUGACCUCCGGAGGGCAAGGCACGGGUCGGCCUCGAGCAGCAGGUUCCUGACCCGCGCCGGCGGGACCCAGCCGCACAAUGGGGUUUGAGGACACACGCUUGCUGCCUACCUGUGAGGAAAGGGUGAGCACUGAAGGCUGCACGGGGACCCAAUCCCUUCACCUAGAUGUGGGCUAACCUUACCUCCUAGACUAAGGUGGAGUUGGUAGAAGUGACCAGAAUGAUGGAAUCUCAUUGUCUGAAGAGAGCCAGCCCCUUGUCCUGCCUGCAGUGAAGGGCUUUGCUGCUGCUCACCCUGACAUUGGACAGCUUUUUACUGCAUUGUGGCCACCUGUCUGAACAUGAGAAGCUGCAAGCUGUGUGUGCUGGACCGGGUCAGCAUCAGCUGGAUGUGGCAGCUUGUCUAUUCAAGUAUGUUCAGACUGAAUCAGAGCUUCUCAUGAGCAUGAGUAUUAGACAAUGUAAUAAGAGCUUAUCUUGCCCAGAAAUUUAUAUAAUGGCUUAGAAAUGGCAGUUUCCAGAAAGAUCCUAAUAAAAUACUUUUAAAACUGUUUAA